This 502-nucleotide ribosomal RNA is filed under the name uncultured bacterium. Its description in RNAcentral is "partial 16S ribosomal RNA". It matches the Rfam family "Bacterial small subunit ribosomal RNA", at positions 29 to 507 of the family's 1533-position model. The record is from RNAcentral.
AGCGAACGCUGGCGGCGUGCCUAACACAUGCAAGUCGAACGUGAAAGGGAGCAUUCCCAAGUAAAGUGGCGUUCGGGUGAGUAACACGUAGGUAAUCUACCCCAGAAUCUGGAAUAACCGGCCGAAAGGCUGGCUAAUACUGGAUAGAGCGACGGAAUCCGUAAUUGGGUUUUUCGGGAAAGGGAGCCUGUAAAAUGGCCUUCGUUCUGGGAUGAGCCUGCGUCCCAUCAGCUAGUUGGUGAGGGAAAAGCUUACCAAGGCAAUGACGGGUAGCUGGUCUGAGAGGACGAGCAGCCACACUGGCACUGAAACACGGACCAGACCCCUACGGGAGGGAGCAGUGGGGAAGCUUGCGAAAUGGACGAGAGUCGGACGCAGAAACGGCGCGCGAGGGAAGAAGGCCGUCGGGUUGUAGAGCUCUGUCGAGUGGGACGAAAAGACUUGGCGUUCUAAGCUUCAGGAGCUGACGGUACCGCUAAAGGAAGCACCGGCUAACUCCGUG